This 460-nucleotide ribosomal RNA is filed under the name uncultured bacterium. RNAcentral's name for it is "partial 16S ribosomal RNA". It matches the Rfam family "Bacterial small subunit ribosomal RNA", at positions 338 to 795 of the family's 1533-position model. The record is from RNAcentral.
CCUACGGGUGGCAGCAGUGAGGAAUAUUGGUCAAUGGGCGCGAGCCUGAACCAGCCAAGUAGCGUGAAGGAUGACGGCCCUACGGGUUGUAAACUUCUUUUAUACAAGAAUAAAGUGAGGCACGCGUGCCUUUUUGUAAGUAUUUUAUGAAUAAGGAUCGGCUAACUCCGUGCCAGCAGCCGCGGUAAUACGGAGGAUCCGAGCGUUAUCCGGAUUUAUUGGGUUUAAAGGGAGCGUAGAUGGGUUGUUAAGUCAGUUGUGAAAGUUUGCGGCUCAACCGUAAAAUUGCAUGUGAUACUGGCCGUCUAGAGUGCAGUUGAGGUAGGCGGAAUUCGUGGUGUAGCGGUGAAAUGCUUAGAGAUCAUGAAGAACUCCGAUUGCGAAGGCAGCUUACCAAACUGCCUCUGACAUUGAUGCACGAAAGUGUGGGUAGCAAACAGGAUUAGAUACCCGGGUAGUC